GGAAAUUAUGCAGGUAUUCCUUGCCGGUAUGUUUCUCCAAUUGAAGGCUUCUCAGCAUUUGCAGAAGUGACAUACGAAAUGGGAUGUGCAGAUGUUGCUUGUAAAAAUGACAGUUUGAUCUUUCCAGCAAUGGAAGCUGCACGUGAAGCAGAUGCCACUAUAUUAUUGAUGGGUUUGGACUUGUCUGUUGAAGCUGAAGGCAGGGACAGGGUGGAUCUCCUCCUCCCAGGUUACCAAACUCAAUUGAUCAACCAAGUUGCUAAAGCCUCUAAAGGUCCAGUGAUCCUUGUAAUUAUGGCAGCGGGUUGUGUUGAUAUCUCUUUUGCCAAGAAUAAUGAACUGAUCCAAG
Molecule: unclassified non-coding RNA, 349 nt
Filed under: Hevea brasiliensis (rubber tree)
Lineage: Eukaryota; Viridiplantae; Streptophyta; Magnoliopsida; Malpighiales; Euphorbiaceae
Source: RNAcentral